UUAUUUAUUUUAUUAUAUUUAUUUUUUGUUUAUUUAAUUAUUUAAUAGAAAUAAUUUUAUUGAAUUUUGUCUUAGUAUAUUUUGUAGAAUUGAUUUUUUAAAUUAUAGUUUAUUGGUAAUGUAAUUGUUUUAUGAAAUAUUAUUUUAAAUUUUUAAAAGUAUAUUUUAUUUAUUGUACCUUUUGUAUCAGGGUUUAUCAAAAUUUUAGUAUUUAAUUUACUUGUCUCGAUUUGGGUUGAUUUAUAAAUAAUUUACAGUUAAUGUAUCAUAAUUAUUAUUAAAUUAUUUAUUGAGAUGAAAUGUUAAUCGUUUCCCAAGAUAUCUAGUUUCUUAAGAAAAAUUUUAAUUUUUUAAAGUUAAUUGUUUUAUUUAAUUUUUUAAUUAUAAAUAUUAACUUAUUUAU
This 403-nucleotide ribosomal RNA is filed under the name Schistocerca lineata (birdwing grasshopper). RNAcentral's name for it is "partial 16S ribosomal RNA". The record is from RNAcentral. Lineage: Eukaryota; Metazoa; Arthropoda; Insecta; Orthoptera; Acrididae.